Molecule: ribosomal RNA, 127 nt
Filed under: Marmota monax (woodchuck)
Lineage: Eukaryota; Metazoa; Chordata; Mammalia; Rodentia; Sciuridae
Description: LSU_rRNA_bacteria
Rfam family: Eukaryotic large subunit ribosomal RNA
Source: RNAcentral
GAUUUCUGCCCAGUGCUCUGAAUGCCAAAGAAAUUCAAUGAAGCACGGGUAAAUGGGGGGAGUAACUAGGACUCUCUUAAGGUAGCCAAAUGCCUCAUCAUCUAAUUAGUGAUGUGCAUGAAUGGAU